Molecule: ribosomal RNA, 519 nt
Filed under: uncultured eukaryote
Lineage: Eukaryota
Description: SSU rRNA
Rfam family: Eukaryotic small subunit ribosomal RNA
Source: RNAcentral
AGGGCACCACCAGGAGUGGAGCCUGCGGCUUAAUUUGACUCAACACGGGAAAACUCACCCGGCCCGGACACUGGAAGGAUUGACAGAUUGAGAGCUCUUUCUUGAUUCAGUGGGUGGUGGUGCAUGGCCGUUCUUAGUUGGUGGAGUGAUUCGUCUGGUUAAUUCCGAUAACGAACGAGACCUUAUCCUACUAAAUAUGUGGUCAAGUUUACAAACACUUGAUCUCACUUCUUAGAGGGACAGGCGGUGAUUCAACCGCACGAAACAAGGCAAUAACAGGUCUGUGAUGCCCUUAGAUGUCCGGGGCCGCACGCGCGCUACACUGAAGUGAUCAGCGUGCUUUGCUAUGCCUACUCUGACAAGAGUGGGAAACCCCAUGAACCUUCUUCGUGAUUGGGAUAGGAGAUUGUAAUUAUUCUCCUUGAACGAGGAAUUCCCAGUAAGCGCGAGUCAUAAGCUCGCGUUGAUUACGUCCCUGCCCUUUGUACACACCGCCCGUCGCUACUACCGAUUGAAUGU